CCAGAGGAUCGGGCGACCGCGGGCAGCCUUGGCUGCGCGAGGAAAGUCCGGGCUCCACGAAACGACGGUGCCGGGUAACGCCCGGCGGGGGCGACCCCAGGGACAGUGCCACAGAGAGCAGACGGCGACCGCUUCGGCGACGCCACGGUGAAAGGGUGCGGCAAGAGCGCACCGCGCGACCGGUAACGGAAGCGGCAUGGUAAACCCCACCGGGAGCAAGACCGAAUAGGGGCGGCAUGGAACCUUCGCGGUUCCGGGGUGCGUUUCCACCCGCUGCCCGGGUUGGUUGCUGGAGGCGGCGCGCAAGCGUCGUCGUAGAGGAAUGGUCGCCCAUCCCCUUGGGGAGGACAGAACCCGGCUUACAGAUCCUCUGGCGUU
RNAcentral lists this RNase P RNA (378 nucleotides) under Sphingomonas sp. CFBP 8760. RNAcentral describes it as "Bacterial RNase P class A". It matches the Rfam family "Bacterial RNase P class A". Rfam says of the family: Ribonuclease P (RNase P) is a ubiquitous endoribonuclease, found in archaea, bacteria and eukarya as well as chloroplasts and mitochondria. Its best characterised activity is the generation of mature 5'-ends of tRNAs by cleaving the 5'-leader elements of precursor-tRNAs. Lineage: Bacteria; Pseudomonadati; Pseudomonadota; Alphaproteobacteria; Sphingomonadales; Sphingomonadaceae. The record is from Rfam by way of RNAcentral.